Podospora fimiseda is the source of this 87-nucleotide non-coding RNA. Lineage: Eukaryota; Fungi; Ascomycota; Sordariomycetes; Sordariales; Podosporaceae. The record is from the annotation of a GenBank genome assembly.
UCCCAUAUAGUGUAGUGGUUUAGCAUACCAGGUUUUCAAGCAAAAUUGAAAUCCCUGGCGACCCGGGUUCGAACCCCGGUGUGGGAA